This 158-nucleotide non-coding RNA is filed under the name uncultured Mediterraneibacter sp. RNAcentral describes it as "Glycine riboswitch". It matches the Rfam family "Glycine riboswitch aptamer", at positions 9 to 86 of the family's 94-position model. From Rfam's summary of the family: This family represents the bacterial glycine riboswitch. Glycine riboswitches usually consist of two metabolite-binding aptamers domains with similar structures in tandem. The record is from RNAcentral. Lineage: Bacteria; Bacillati; Bacillota; Clostridia; Lachnospirales; Lachnospiraceae.
AUACUCAGGAGAGGUUCUUUUUCAUCUGCAUUCCGGCUUUCACAGCGGAUGUGCGAAAAAGAGCGCCGAAGGUGUAAGCGCAGAGAAGUCGGGCGCGCGUUUUCAUAAAUGCGGCGGGCGUCUGCGUGAGUCUCUCAGGCAAAAGGAUGGAGGUAUAA